UUCUGUCAAACAACUGUGGGAGAACAGGCAGGACCUAAGGGUGCGACUUCUAUUACUGCAUCUACCAAAUCCAUUAUAAACGAAGGGGUACAGCCAAGGGCGGCACUCGGCCCCAAUUCUCAAUGCCCUGGGUUUAUACCAUGAUUUUAUAGCCAUUGACUUAAUAUAGCCUUCACGAAGUUUAUAAUAGAAACAGGCAUCCUU
Molecule: long non-coding RNA, 204 nt
Filed under: Prunus persica (peach)
Lineage: Eukaryota; Viridiplantae; Streptophyta; Magnoliopsida; Rosales; Rosaceae
Description: long non-coding RNA (PPER_LNC007133)
Source: RNAcentral